GCAAGUCGAACGGCAGCACGGGCUGCUUGCACCUGGUGGCGAGUGGCGAACGGGUGAGUAAUGUAUCGGAACGUAUCCAAUAAUGGGGGAUAACUAAUCGAAAGGUUGGCUAAUACCGCAUACGCCCUACGGGGGAAAGCAGGGGAUCUUCGGACCUUGCGUUAAUGGAGCGGCCGAUAUCUGAUUAGCUAGUUGGUGAGGUAAAGGCUCACCAAGGCGACGAUCAGUAGCUGGUCUGAGAGGACGACCAGCCACACUGGAACUGAGACACGGUCCAGACUCCUACGGGAGGCAGCAGUGGGGAAUUUUGGACAAUGGGGGCAACCCUGAUCCAGCCAUUCCGCGUGAGUGAAGAAGGCCUUCGGGUUGUAAAGCUCUUUCGCAAGGGAAGAAACGAUACAGUCUAAUAAACUGUGUUAAUGACGGUACCUUGAUAAGAAGCACCGGCUAACUACGUGCCAGCAGCCGCGGUAAUACGUAGGGUGCGAGCGUUAAUCGGAAUUACUGGGCGUAAAGCGUGCGCAGGCGGUUUUGAAAGUCAGAUGUGAAAUCCCCGGGCUCAACCUGGGAACUGCGUUUGAAACUCCAAAGCUAGAGUAUGGGAGAGGGGGGUAGAAUUCCACGUGUAGCAGUGAAAUGCGUAGAGAUGUGGAGGAAUACCAAUGGCGAAGGCAGCCCCCUGGCUUAAUACUGACGCUCAUGCACGAAAGCGUGGGGAGCAAACAGGAUUAGAUACCCUGGUAGUCCACGCCCUAAACGAUGUCUACUAGUUGUUGGGAGAGUAAAAUCUCUUAGUAACGCAGCUAACGCGUGAAGUAGACCGCCUG
RNAcentral lists this ribosomal RNA (827 nucleotides) under uncultured bacterium. Its description in RNAcentral is "bacterial SSU rRNA". It matches the Rfam family "Bacterial small subunit ribosomal RNA", at positions 57 to 875 of the family's 1533-position model. The record is from RNAcentral.